Molecule: transfer RNA, 83 nt
Filed under: pig gut metagenome
Rfam family: tRNA
About the family: Transfer RNA (tRNA) molecules are approximately 80 nucleotides in length.
Source: RNAcentral
GAGAGAUGUCUGAGUGGUCUAAGGUGCUUGACUCGAAAUCAAGUGUAUCGCAAGGUACCGGGGGUUCGAAUCCCUCUCUCUCC